This is a non-coding RNA of Phascolarctos cinereus (koala), 1717 nucleotides long. The record is from RefSeq and is a predicted model, not a curated record. NCBI's taxonomy places the organism in Eukaryota, Metazoa, Chordata, Mammalia, Diprotodontia, Phascolarctidae.
UUCCUUAAAUCACCAAUUCCCUGUCUAGAUGUUCAGAGCAUGUUUCUAAUGGUUCAUUCUAGAAUUUCCCCAAAAACCAAAGCUGAAUUAAUUCAUCUCUACUUUGCUGACUGUUCUCUUUCCUUUGUUAGACAUUAGGAUGAUAUUUGCCCUUCUCCUGUCUUGUGGGACCUCUACUCUUCUCCGUGACCUUUCAGAUUACUGACGGUGCUUCAGCAAUCCCACUUUCCCAGCUCCCAGGUUCUUUCAGGACCAUACAGGGCAGUCAAUGAGGGCAGGGAGGUGCUCAUGACCUUCUCCUUCCUUGUCUUAGAUGCUGACCCUGGUGGUUGAUUUUGUUUGUCAUUUUGAGUUAAAGGGAAUUCUUUUUUGCAGAAAAAUAGAAGUGAGCAGCACUGCUUUGUCUCUAUGGUUAGACCAUCUUCCCAUCCACCCUGAACAAAGGGCUUUUCUUUUCUUUGAUUCUCCUUUUUUGCCCAUUAUAGAUUAGAGAAACCCAAAACAGGUUAGUUUUUUUGUUUAUUUGUUUUGGUUUGUUUUUCCCUCACUGGCUUCAGAUUGAGCUGGAGGCUAGAACCAAGACCCUGCUCUUCUCCUGGGUCUGAUUCACAUUGCUGCUGCAGCUGCUUCUGAAUUUGCUCCUGUAUUCAUCAGCCUGCCCCUUGCCUUGUCAUCCUGGAUCUGUGACCUAUAAUUAUGUGGCUGGUUCUCCCCUCCUUUGGCAAGCUGCUAGCCCUCCUGCCCUAGGAGUCUACCAUAACGAUGCAGGUCUUUGUGUUUGGAUUGGCCCACCGCAGCUCAGAGCACUUGUGCUCAAGAGAUCUCCCAGCUCUGCUGGUGGAUGGCAUUGCAGGGAAUUUGGCAUCUUUCUUCCUUCGCACAAUUAACCUUGUCCAUGAACUACUCCCUCAGACUGAAUGGGAAAUCUUUCUCCACUACGUGCGUUCUGAGGAAAUCUAACUCGAAAUGCUACCGUUGAUUGAUCUGGGAAAGUUCACUCUCAGGACUUCUGCUUUUGAGCCACGUGUAAGCACGUGCUUAUUUCUGCCUUGAGUUUCUUUAGUUUUGGGGUGGUCCCCCCCUGCACUGUUACAAAGAGAUAUUUACUGAGAAGGCAUAGCGUGAACAGAAGUACAUUUUUCCCCCGAUACCCAGGGUCACAUUCUCCUUUAUUCCACCUAGUUCUCUAGAGUCAAGGUGGGCUCAAACUUAACAGACCUUCUAUGAACGUUUGUCUGAUAAGUUCACUUCCGUGUUCUACAGUGUGGGCUGUGCUGGGAAUUUGUCUGUUGGGAAAUUCUUUUGCUCUCUCCACCUGUCAAGGCUCCCAAGCCCAUAGCUAUCUCCACUAUUCUGAAACCUAAAAGUCAGGUAAUAAAAGAGGCCUGCAUUCAUGGUCAUGUGUGGGUCAAGGGGUUAAAUUGGGGCCCGAGGCUUCUUUUCCCACUCAGCAGUUUACAAUUUGCUUUUCCUCAGUCACAGUUAGGGAGGGAAGAAGAAAUAAGCAGGUGGGGAAGGGUCUUUUGUAAGCAUUCUCAGUUCCUGCACGAUAGCCUAUCGAAAGGCUCCUUUUCUUCACAAAUCAAAUAGACCCAAGACAAUACUUGUGCGGGCUCACAAGUGGACAUAGUGAUUGCAUCAGGAGAACAUGCUGAGCAAGCCAUGUGCUUCUGCUGCCAGGGUAAGACAAUUCCAAAGGGCUUGUAACGACAAAUGU